CAGUCGCCGCGGUAAUACGUAGGUGGCAAGCGUUGUCCGGAAUUAUUGGGCGUAAAGGGCUCGCAGGCGGUUUCUUAAGUCUGAUGUGAAAGCCCCCGGCUCAACCGGGGAGGGUCAUUGGAAACUGGGAAACUUGAGUGCAGAAGAGGAGAGUGGAAUUCCACGUGUAGCGGUGAAAUGCGUAGAGAUGUGGAGGAACACCAGUGGCGAAGGCGACUCUCUGGUCUGUAACUGACGCUGAGGAGCGAAAGCGUGGGGAGCGAACAGGAUUAGAUACCCGAGUAGUCCAUGUCUCUUAUAA
RNAcentral lists this ribosomal RNA (301 nucleotides) under uncultured bacterium. RNAcentral describes it as "partial 16S ribosomal RNA". It matches the Rfam family "Bacterial small subunit ribosomal RNA", at positions 509 to 809 of the family's 1533-position model. The record is from RNAcentral.